AGUCGUAACAAGGUUUCCGUAGGUGAACCUGCGGAAGGAUCAUUAAAGAGUAAGGGUGCUCAGCGCCCGACCUCCAACCCUUUGUUGUUAAAACUACCUUGUUGCUUUGGCGGGACCGCUCGGUCUCGAGCCGCUGGGGAUUCGUCCCAGGCGAGCGCCCGCCAGAGUUAAACCAAACUCUUGUUAUUUAACCGGUCGUCUGAGUUAAAAUUUUGAAUAAAUCAAAACUUUCAACAACGGAUCUCUUGGUUCUCGCAUCGAUGAAGAACGCAGCGAAAUGCGAUAAGUAAUGUGAAUUGCAGAAUUCAGUGAAUCAUCGAAUCUUUGAACGCACAUUGCGCCCCUUGGUAUUCCGAGGGGCAUGCCUGUUCGAGCGUCAUUACACCACUCAAGCUAUGCUUGGUAUUGGGUGCCGUCCUUAGUUGGGCGCGCCUUAAAGACCUCGGCGAGGCCUCACCGGCUUUAGGCGUAGUAGAAUUUAUUCGAACGUCUGUCAAAGGAGAGGACUUCUGCCGACUGAAACCUUUAUUCUUCUAGGUUGACCUCGGAUCAGGUAGGGAUACCCGCUGAACUUAAGCAUAUCAAUAAAGUCG
RNAcentral lists this ribosomal RNA (593 nucleotides) under uncultured fungus. RNAcentral's name for it is "eukaryotic LSU rRNA". The stretch from base 226 to 379 matches the Rfam family "5.8S ribosomal RNA". Lineage: Eukaryota; Fungi. The record is from RNAcentral.